UAAUAAUAAUAAUAAUAAUAAAGGGGAUAUUCUCUACUUGAGAAAACUGCACUACAUGCAGGCAGCAUGUUCCAUAAAGGUACUUUCUGGUGCCACUAACAUUACCUUUUUUUUUCACUAACAGAACAAAUCCCAUUCCCAUGGGCCAUCAGCAUUUUUCAAUAAUAGCUUAUGAAUCAUAACAUGAUGAGCCACUGCUAUCCACAGCAUAAUCAUAUCAUUUGAGUAGCUCAUGAACUUUACAAUAUCCUGCCUAUAAACCUAACCAAAUAGUUUAUAAACAAGACCUGCCAUUACUCCAAUCAAAACACCUAUGAUAUAACCAUCAAUGGCACUUAAAGGAGGAAAAAAUAGUUAAAGAGGGCAUGAAGCUAUAAACUAGAAUAGAUAUGAUCUGUACUGCAUAUUAACAUAAGUGUUGAAAAAUGAAGAAUAGAAUCACAAUAAUCAUUACCAUGGUUUCACUUUAAGCAUCAUACAAGAAAAAUAUCGAAGUCGAACCAGAGUAAUGAAACAUCACUAAUGGGCAUUAUUCACGCUCAAGUACAAGUCAAGAGAAGGCCCUCUGCAUUCCUAGGACAUAUGGGGCCAUAUACUUAUUGAUUAAGAGCAAUCAUUUCACCUGUAUGCCACCCGUCGCCAUCAGCUUUUCAUUUUAUUCUUCUACUUUCUUCUUUCCUAGCUCAUGUCUACUGAUGUCUUAGACCCAUGUUUGAGGAAACAGAACAAAAUGGUCCCCUACGGGACCAUGAAAGGAACCAUAAAAAAUCACAAACACAACUACUUUGCAAUUGUGAUAUCAGCCAAUUAGGCUUCUUAUAUUUGAUAUAGUUUCCUUUAAUGUAUUUAAAAAAAGAUGAAAAACAUUUGAGCACACAAUAUUAUGUCAAGGAUAGUUUAAUUUUAACAGUGUUAAAGUGAAAUCUACCAGAGUCUCAGCACCCAAGGUGUAAUAAAAAAUUUUAAAAAGCCAAAAAACAGCUUUGCUCUGAAAGUCCUUAUAAAAUUCAAAGCCUAAUCCAAAUAAAUGAAGUGCUGAUAUCAAACUCUGGACAACUCAAUGGAUACAUAUUUUAAAAUGGUAUAAAUUUUCUUCACUUAAAACAAAAUUGUUUAUCUUACAAGUAACAGACAUUAUUCAUUUUUCAGAGAGGGUAUGACCACUGAGUUGUAUGAUUAUAUAUUUCUGAUUUUACAAUGCUUACUUGUUGCUUCAACAAUGUAUCAAGUGUUUCCUAAGUUACAUGUUUAGUUUAAGUGGCUUCAUGUCUCAGCCAAAGAGGGGGAAGAGUGCAGGCGGAGAAGCCUGAACAACAAAAAGGCAACAUUCAGGACCAAAAAUAUAAGCAUGGUAAAUACUGAAAUGACACUUGAAAUGUCAAAUUCUAUCAAUUAAGUUUUGUUACUAAGAUCCAGCUUCCUAAUGCUUUUGUGUAACUUACAAGUCAGGUUAUAUUAAGUGAUAGCAGAUCAGGUUCUUUUUCCUAACGUCACAAUCUCUUCCUUCUGAAAUGCCUUACCCAUGAAAAAAAUUACAUAAAGCAACGAUUUCAAGAUUUCAUCAACCACAAAAUCUAGAUACCAAAAAAUUUCAAUUUAUCAGACUUUAUGAGUUUCUUUCUAAUGCCACAAGAGAAGGGAAACACAACACUAGAUAAAACUCAGGAGGUACCGGAGAAAGCUGAAAGGAAGGGAGGACAACUAAUGGUGAUCCUUGUUGGUUGUCGAUAAAUAAAUCUGCCAAACUUGAAAAUAAGCAUGAACUAUAUAUAUAGGGAGAGAGAGAGGAUAAUGAUGACAUUGAAAAAGCCACAUGAGUUGUCUUAGACAUUUAUAGCAGGUGAAGAUUAAGUGUUGCAAACUCAUACGGCAUGCAAAUAACAUAUGGGCAUAUGGCUUAAUUUCACAGUGGUUGGACUUCUGACUAAAUUUUAGACUCUUUUAUUUUGUGUUUUAACAUGGUCACUAAGCUAUACUGAGAUCUAGUCAGAUUUCCAAUUUGACAGCUAAAAAAGAACUCUUGUGGUUCACCUUUAAAUUUAAUUGUACAAUUAUAUUAUAAAUAAAUAAAUAAUUAAAAUCUUGACUACCACAUUAGAAAUCCAACUGAAUUUCUCUUACACAUGCAAAUAGUAAACUUACUGAAGAACACAUUAAAGGAGUGUAUUUUUAUGUGAUAGAAUGAAGACCUCAUAGAAGUUUAAUGAUAAGACUAGUGAAAAUUGCUGAAAUUAAGUCUAUUAACAAUUUAACACAUAAGGUCAGGUUAGUUCUAGUCAGGUUAUCAAAUAUACCUACCCAGGAACCGAUUUAACCUUAGAAGACACCAAGAUCUAAACUGACAUGCCAUUAACACCAUCUUGACUUCACCAAUUCAAUUAAUUGUUAGCUCUAGAUCUCAAGUUACCUAGAGCGUAGUUGCAUUGCUGCACCCUGUUCUAUUCUUUAGCCCUUCAACUUUGGCCAAAGUGAAAUUCAAAGCUUUUUACUAUAAUUUUGGUCCAGAUCUUACUCAUAAGAAGAUUAAGAGAGAGGGAGAGUACUAACCGUCAUGACUUUUUUGCGUUCCAAAAUAAAUAUUUAUAUAACUUGAUCUUCAAGAGAUGUCAAAAUAAAUUUUCUUGAACUAUACUGAAUUUACAAGACUAGUAAAUAGUAAUGUCCUGUAACAUUGCUCAAAUGUAUAGUGUUUACGCAUGAAAAAGAAGUGUUGGGUAAAUUCUCACGGCUUUUGUGUAUUUGUUAUGUAGAGGGACAAAAAAGAAUCAUACCAUUUAUCUCAGAGUGUAGAGACUAGGGAACUCUCAUGGUUGACCAAAAGGAGUGCUCCAUGCUUUGGAAUUGCUCUAUAAUAUGUCACAGCACUCAAAUGCAAGUUAAAAAAAUCAUCACUGGUCUACAUGCUUGAAAAACUUUACUGCCAUGGCAAAUUCACAUUGACAAAGGUAAUAACAAUCUUCUCUCCCUCUUCCGGGUCAGUACCUGCCUAGAACUUCGCAAGCGUAUGGGAAGAAAAAUCCCAAGGCAGAUUAUGAGAAAAGAAAGCCAAAAGUGCCUGAAAUAGAGGGUCACAAAAGAUGAUAUGACAAGCAUGCUAAACACUAAUGCCCAGAAGAUUGCCACAGCAACAUCAACCCAAGAAGUGAUGUGGGGUUUGGGAGAGAAGAUAGUUAGAGCAGGACACUUGUGCUGCGAUCGGAUCUGGUAAUCCCUGAGUUGCUCAACGAGUUUAGACCGAGUUAUCAUAUUCUGUAUUUCUGUUCUUAUUUAUGUCUUUUGUUUCUCCGAUCAAAAAACUAGUAGCAACUGCGAUAUUUUGAGGCUGGAUUGCAGAGUGUCGCUCGCUGCUCGAUCUGAGAUAAAAGUGGAAUUAAGGUUUAUUGUUUUGCUUUGGAG
RNAcentral lists this unclassified non-coding RNA (3396 nucleotides) under Hevea brasiliensis (rubber tree). Lineage: Eukaryota; Viridiplantae; Streptophyta; Magnoliopsida; Malpighiales; Euphorbiaceae. The record is from RNAcentral.